This is an RNA transcript of Hypanus sabinus (Atlantic stingray), 6751 nucleotides long. It is a transcript of the gene named solute carrier family 5 member 6a, with no coding region annotated. The transcript is spliced from 19 exons. Lineage: Eukaryota; Metazoa; Chordata; Chondrichthyes; Myliobatiformes; Dasyatidae. The record is from RefSeq and is a predicted model, not a curated record.
GAUUGGCUGAGGGAGCGGCUAGCCGCUCGUACUUGUCAGUGCGGCGAGGCACGUUGUGGUGGCUGGCUGGCCGGCCGGCGUGGUAGCUGCGGUUGUGGAGACGCCGGCGAGGAGGCAGUGACGGUCGGGACAAGGUUGGAUGGAUGGCUUCCAAGUGUUUAUCUUUUAAACAGCCUUGGACACAGUAUUUUUCCUCAGCUGGGGAUAUUAUUGGUUAAGGCCUGGUGAACUCUGAUCCAUUGCUGUGUGGCUUUGUUUCAGUGCGUGCUGGCAGCCUGUUGGAGGCAGGAUUGACAGACGACGCUGCACAGGAGUUCAAUCAUGACUGCUGCGCUUCAUGCCAGAGACUGGGUUUUGUUGUAGGUAAUAAUUUUAUAUCCUCGGCUGGAAAGACAUGGAGUUCACAGUGAUGUGCUAAGCCUACAAUCUCCCCUCUCCCAAGAUCCAUAAUUCCAGUGCCACUUCCCCUGGAGGGAUCGCAAGGACUCUGUGUGGCAGGAGGACAGCUUCACUAGAGAGAAAAUGCCCCCCAAAGCACUGAUGCGCUUCUCUAUGGCGGACUACAUCAUCUUUGCCCUGCUUCUCAUCUUCUCCUCAGUCAUCGGACUUUUCUACGCACUAAGUGGCGGGCGGCAGAGGACCACCCAGGAGUUUCUGCUGGCUGGGCGCAGCAUGACCUUUGUGCCGGUGGCCCUGUCCCUCCUUGCCACCUUCCAGUCAGCCGUGGCCAUCCUGGGCGUUCCGGCUGAGAUCUACACCAACGGCACUCAGUACUGGUUCCUCGGGUGUUCCUACUUCCUCGGACUCCUCAUCCCAGCUCACGUCUUUCUCCCGGUGUUUUACCGGCUUGGCCUCACCAGCACUUAUGAGUACCUGGAACUGCGGUUUAAUAAGGCGACAAGACUGUGCGGGAUGCUGACUUUCAUCUUUCAAAUGGUAAUUUACAUGGGAGUAGUCCUCUAUGCACCUGCCCUUGCCCUAAAUGCAGUGACUGGCUUUAACUUGUGGGGAGCAGUACUAGCUAUGGGCCUGGUCUGUACACUCUACACAGCAGUGGGCGGGCUAAAAGCUGUAAUUUGGACCGACGUGUUUCAGACGCUGGUGAUGUUUUCUGGGCAGCUGGCUGUCAUCAUCAUUGGUGCAAAGCAGGCAGGGGGCAUCGGAGAAGUGUGGCAAUCCGCCGUGAGGGGUGGCAAGAUAUCGGGAAUCGACCUGAACCCUGACCCUUUUGAGCGCCACACCUUCUGGACGCUCGGCUUCGGCGGCGUGUUCAUGAUGCUGGCGCUGUACGGAGUGAACCAGGCCCAGGUUCAGCGGUACCUCAGCUCGCGCUCCGAGAUGCAGGCGAAACUGUCGUGCUAUGCAGUGUUCCCAUGCCAACAGAUAGUCCUAGCCAUGGGAUGUCUGAUGGGUCUGGUCAUGUACGCUCGCUAUGGAGAAAACAGUCCGCUGCAGCAGGGUUACGUCAGCGCCUCUGAUCAGAUGGUUCUAUAUUUCGUCAUGGAUGUUCUUCAGGAUUAUCCUGGUUUGCCAGGGCUCUUCAUCGCCUGCUUGUUCAGCGGAGCACUCAGCACUAUAUCAUCUGCAUUCAGUUCACUGGCUGCUGUGACCAUGGCCGACCUUAUUAAACCUCACUACCCAGACAUGUCUGAGCGUCGAGCCACACUCAUAUCCAAGUGUCUCGCCUUUGGUUAUGGAAUACUCUGCCUUGGAAUGUCGUACAUCGCAUCGCUGAUGGGCUCAGUGCUGCAGGCGGCUUUGAGCAUAUUUGGAAUGAUUGGCGGCCCCUUACUUGGCACUUUCUGCCUGGGAAUGUUCUUCCCCAUGGCUAAUUCUAUGGGUGCAAUCUUGGGCUUGGUGGCUGGUUUGAUAAUGGCAUUUUGGAUCGGAAUCGGCAGCUUUAUUUCCAAACCAAUGCAGCUCUCAUUCGUAAACACUACCAGUGUCCCAAAUGUCACCAUCUCUGUGACAUCUACUGCCGUAACAAUGGCCAAUGCAACACUGGCAGUGAGUGCAGGUCCCAUAGGCCUGAAGAAGUUCUACAGUCUCUCAUAUUUAUGGUACAGUGGGUUCAAUGCCGCCAUCGUGGUUAUCGUGGGGCUGCUGGUCAGUUUCCUAACAGGUCCAAUGAAAGGAGAGGAUGUGAACCCUUCUACUGUGUUUCCUGUUCUCCAUUAUCUGCUCUUCUUCUUGCCUAAGCGAUACAGGGAGAAGCUGACCUGUGGAGUCCGAUAUCAGCAAGCGAACACCGAUUCCAGCCUCCAGCAUUCACUCGUGGUGCACAAGGAGUUGAAUGGAGUGGUGAGCCACAACACGAGUUGGGUGGAUCAGAAGCAGGGGCUCGACGAGGAGUUGGACAAGGACCUGGAGAUAGUCAAGAGGGAUCUAGCGGUGGAGGUCCUCCAGGAAACACCUUUGUAACACUAAAUCCUGAGCGGCAUUGGUACCCAGCUGUGUGAACCAACCAUUACUCUGAGCGCGAAAUAAGUGUGCCUCUUCAAUAAAACAUAAGAAAGAAAAUUGCAGCUGCGCGGUAACAAUGGCUACGUGCAUGGGAGCAUUUCAGCUACCGCUCGGUCUCGCACCCGCGCAGCUGACGGGGAACAGUGUUCGGAAUCCACCCCAGUGUUGCAUAUUUCCACACUUUCCUAGAUAUUCAAGCAUCCAUCGACCUUGGUCCUGAAUAUUCUCAGUAGCUGGACCAUUGCACCAAUCGGAUCGUUUGCUAGAAUGUGGCAGUGGCAAAAUCCGAACAGAUGAUAACCCUGCUUGGUCGAGAGUCUUCUAUCCACCAUAAGGCCCAGAGGAUUGCUAAUAAUUCUGUUGCAAAGACAGAAACACCAUCUGAAACCCGGUGACCAAUCUCAACUCCAAGUAGAGACACGUACAUCCCAAAUCCUGCCUUACUGCUCUCUGGGUCCACUGAGUCAACAGCAAAAAUCUUCAGAUAAGAUCCCCAUUUAUUAUUUAAAUAUUAAUUUAUGAUCGGCGCUGUUGAAAUUGCUCUGCUUCUUUGAAGCUGAAAAAGGAGGAAUAGGUCUACUUCUGGUUCUGGCAAAAGCCAAAAAGGAAUGGCUGGCAAGCAAAUUUGGUCAUCUAUGUCUUCCUCAAUCAGUUUCAAUUUCAUAGCCUGGUUAUUAACCAAAGUUAGCCUAGUUAUAAACUAGUAGGUAAAUUAUUGGAAGGAAUACUAAGGGAUAGGAUCUACAAGUACUUGGAUAGACAGGGACUUAUUAGAAACAGUCAGCAUGGCUUUGUGCAUGGUAGGUCAUGUUUAACCAAUCUAUUAAAGUUUUUUGAGGAAGUUACCAGGAAAGUGGAUGAAGGGAAGGCAGUGGAUGUUGUAUAUAUGGACUUCAGUAAGGCCUUUGACAAGGUCCCAUAUGGGAGGUUAGUUAGGAAGAUUCAGUUGCUAGGUAUACAAAGAGAGGUAGUAAAUUGGAUUAGACAUUGGCAUAAUGGGAGAAGUCAAAGAGUGGUCGUGGAGGAUUGCUACUCUGAGUGGAGGCCUGUGACUAGUGGUGUGCCACAGGGAUCAGUGCUGGGUCCAUUGUUAUUUGUCAUCUAUAUCAAUGAUCUGGAUGAUAAUGUGGCAAAUUGGAUCAGCAAAUUUGCUGAUGAUGCAAAGAUUGGAGGUGUAUUGGACAGUGAGGAAGGUUUUCAAAGCUUGCAGAGGGAUUUGGACCAGUUGGAGGAAUGGGCUGAAAAAUGGCAGAUGGAGUUUAAUGUGGACAAGUGUGAGGUAUUGCACUUCAGAAGGUCAAACCAAGGUAGAACAUACAAGGUAAAUGGUAGGACACUGAGGAGUGCAGUAGAACAAAGGGAUCUGGGAGUACAGAUACAUAAUUCCCUAAAAGUGGCGUCACAAGUAGAUAGAGUUGUAAAGAGAGCUUUUGGUACAUUGCCUUUAUAAAUCACAGUAUUGAGUAUAAGAGUUGGAAUGUAAUGGUGAGGUUGUAUAAGACAUUGGUGAGACCGAACUUGGAGUGUUGUGUGCAGUUUUGGUCACCUAAUUACAGGAAGGAUAUUAAUAAGGUUGAAAGAGUGCAGAGAAGGUUUACAAGGACGUUGCCGGGACUUGAGAAACUGAGUUACAGAGAAAGGUUGAAUAGUUUUGUAUUUUAUUCCCUGGAGUGUAGGAGAAUGAGGGGUGAUUUGAUAGAGGUGCAUAAAAUUAUGAUGGGUAUAGAUAGAGUGAAUGCACAGGGAAGAAAAAGAGAAACAGAGGUCAUGGGUUAAGGGUGAAGGGGCAAAGUUUAAAGGGAACAUUACAGAGGGCUUCUUCACGCAGAGAGUGGUGGGAGCAUGGAAUGAGCUGCCAGAUGAAGUGGAGAAUGCGGGCUCACUUUUGCCAUUUAAGAAAAAUUUGGACAGGUAUAUGGAUGAGAGGGGUUUGGAGGGAUAUGGCCCAGGUGCAGGUCAGUGGGGCUAGGCAGAAAAAUGGUUUGGCACAGCCAAGAAGGGUCAAAAGGCCUGUUUCUGUGCUGUAAUGGUUCUAUGGUUCAAAUCUAAAAAUGGAUAUCUUUUAAUUUUACUUUGGCGCUCCAACGUCUCCUGCAAAAGUCAUUUUGAUGGCCAGCUGUGAUUGAAGCCAUUUAGUUUUGCCCAAUACUGCAGGCCCAACUUAACUCAUCUUAAAUGUAGAGGCACUUCUCCCAUCUCCACACAUAAUGCAGGGACUGAUGUUGUUGUGAAAGCUCCACAACAGAGUCUAAGUGCUUUGGACUGCACAGUGUCUAAUUUUUCAAGAACUGCCGUAGCAGUGGAACCAUAAGCAAUACAACCAUAAUCAAUAAUUGAUCUAAUCAUAGCUAGAUAUAUUAAGUACAUAGUUUCCCGCUCUGCUCCCCAGUCACAUCCAGCAAUACUUCUCAUAACAUUUAGAACUUCCUCGCACUUUCCAAUUGUUUCAUCUAUAUAGACCCUCCAAGUAAAUCUUCCAUCAAGCCAGACACCUAAAAACUUGAAUACCUUGUCUUUCUAAUGGAGAACCAUAUUGACACAAUUCACAAUCAAGAAUCUUUCUUCUAAAGCCAAAAAUCAGAUAGUUGGACUUAGAAGCAGAAAUCCCAAAACUCCAUUUAUUUGCCCAGUUUUCAACUGAUCUUAAAGCCUUUUGUACCUGCUUUAACAUAUACUUGAUGUUUCUUCCUCUUUUCCAGAUUAUACCAUCAUCUGCAAACAACAAUUUGCCAAAUCCUGUCCCUACCUGCUCAAAGAUAUCGUUUACCAUGACAUUAAAAAGAACUGGACUAAUGACGCUUCCUUGAGGGUACCGUUACCUAUUGUAACUGACUUGGAGCUUGUUCCGCCUAUUUUUACUUGAAUUGCCUUUUUUAAAGAAAAUCUUUGAUUCAAUUAAACAUUCUACCUCUAAUUCCCACAUCAUAGAGUUUAAUUAAUGAACCAUCCUUCCAUAGUGAGUCAUAUGCUCUUUCGAUAUCUAGAAAUACACUUACCUUUACUUCCCUGUUUUGAAACACUUUUUUAAUAUCAUGAUCUAAAAGGGCAACAGAUUCCAUUGUUGAUCUUCCAGUUCUAAAACCAUUUUGAUAGGCAGCAAAAUGUCCCUUAUUUUCUAAAAAAUAAACAAGUCUGUUGGUGACCAUUCGUUCCAUAGUUUUACAAAGCACUGAUGUUAAAGCUAUAGCCCGAUACAAGCUAGGACUAGAUGUGUCUUUACCUGGCUUUAAAACUGGAACUAGCACCGCAUGCUUCCAUUCUACUGGUAAUUCUCCUCCUUUCCACACCGAGUUAAACAAAGCUAGCAUUUCUAUUAAUACAGAGUCAUCUAAAUGCUUAAGCAAUUCAUAACACAGUCCAUCCCUACCAGGAGAAGUGUUUGAACCUGAUUGGAUAGCUUCAUGCAAUUCCUGAAGGGAGAAAAAACAAAUUUAUGGUGGUAUUAUCAUUCAAACUCUUGUUCAGUUCCCAAGUUUCCACUAACAUGCUUUCCUUUCUCAAAUCAUCUCUCUCUCCAGAACUGUGUAACACUUAGAACACCUCUACAAACAUAUCAGCCUUUUCUUUGUUGGUUACGUCUUCAAUACCUCCUUCCAGCGAAGCUAGGAUAGAUGGUUUUUUGUAUAUCCCUGACAUUCUGUGAAUGAUCAUCCAUAGCUGCUUUAUAGGUGUCUCAGGGCCCAGGGUUCCACAAAAUCUUCUACAACUAUCCCUCUUUGCAUUUUUAAUUACUCUCCUUGCUCUUUCCUUUUUAUACUCCAUAACAUUAUCUAACACUGGGUACUUUCUUAAUUUCCUGUAAGCUCCGUUCCUGUUUCUUACUGCUAUAUCACAAUUUUUAUUCCACCACGGAACUAAUGCUCAAGCCUCAGGAACAUCCUGUAGUAGAAUAUUAAACUGAACAACUUUAUGGAUUAUAGAACAGAGGGAUUCAUUCCACUCGUCUAUGGAGCCCUCACUAUCAAUCUCUUCUAUUAUAUCCACAGCUUUCUCCUAGUAGCCAUCCCAAUGGGUCAAUGAAAAAUUAUACCUAGCAGCCCUCUCCUCAACUUCUACUAUCAAAUUUCUACCUAAUCUACAUAAUAUAGGAUAGUGAUCACUUCCCAGUGUGUACCUGUCCAUAACAUCCCAUUCCCCAAUCCUGGCUAAGUUUGAGGAAGUGAUUGAUAAGUCUAAGUGACUACAAGUAUUAUUGACAAUAUUAAAUCUGGUAGGCCUUCCGUUGUUUAGAAGUACCAUGUUGUAUUUAUCUAGAAACUAUCACCGCUCCAUUACAAUCUUUACUUUC